ACUUUAAUGAUUAUAAACAUGAUUACAAUAAUUGCUUCAAUUAAUUAUAUCAAUUUACGAAUUAUGAAUAACAUAUAAUCACAUCUCCUAAUAGAUAUUGAAAUAUUAUUUGAAAGAAAGCUCAUAUGACAUGAUUCCCAGAAGCUCUAAAAUCACCGCCAUGCUCGUGGACACACGGGCAACAGGACACGUAUGCGCAGCACAACCAGUCGUAUGCAUUCGCACAUGUAUGAGGGAGACACGUAUACGACCAGCACUUGCAUAUAUGUUGCACACAUAGAGGACGCUUGAACCCAUGCGGAUUCCAACUCCUGCAUGAAUAAGGAUUCCUACAUAUAGACAAAUUCUCGUGAGCUUGGGACCCCAUUGUAGACUUUUUAGAUUUUUUUAUGGCUCAUUAGGUAUCCUAGGCCUAAAGCCCAUCCAAGAAGACUUAAGACUGGCAGUCCAAGCAUCUAGUGUAACGGCCCCGGAAAUUUAAAUGAAAUGUAUGUAUUAAAAUCUCAAAUGCGGAAGCGUAAUAAAAAUUUUGAUUAACAUUUUUUACACAAUAACCAAAACGUACUCAAAACAUGAAGGAAUAA
This 584-nucleotide long non-coding RNA is filed under the name Carica papaya (papaya). RNAcentral describes it as "long non-coding RNA (CPAP_LNC014275)". The record is from RNAcentral. Lineage: Eukaryota; Viridiplantae; Streptophyta; Magnoliopsida; Brassicales; Caricaceae.